Molecule: non-coding RNA, 45 nt
Organism: Schistosoma curassoni
Lineage: Eukaryota; Metazoa; Platyhelminthes; Trematoda; Strigeidida; Schistosomatidae
Source: Rfam
AUCCAUCUGACGAGUCCCAGAUAGGACGAAACAUGCAACCUGGAU